GGGGGCGAAUGGUUUCGACGGGGAUAUAGGAGGUUUAAGCUGCAUGCCGAGGCCCUAUCACCUCGUAAAAAAUGAUAGGGAAAAAGAAAUGCCAACUAUGACUAUGCCCUAGCUGCUUAAAAUAGCAGCUACGUCUGAGAAGUCCUGGCCUGCAAGGCUCCUCAGGCGUCGGUUUAGCAGGCUAGCUGCUUAUGAGCGCCUACUAUAUAAGCAGCGAAACAGAAUGUAGGCUGGCCCUUACUACUUCCUUUCUGGGAGAAGGGUAAGGGUGAGAAUUAUAUCCCAGAAUAAGCAUGUAGAGGCUUAAACCGAGUAUUUCCGGACGCGGGUUCAAUUCCCGCCGCCUCCACCA
This 352-nucleotide transfer-messenger RNA is filed under the name Deltaproteobacteria bacterium. It matches the Rfam family "transfer-messenger RNA". Rfam says of the family: Bacterial tmRNA, also known as 10Sa RNA or SsrA, is named for its dual tRNA and mRNA-like properties. Its role is to liberate the mRNA from a stalled ribosome. Lineage: Bacteria; Pseudomonadati; Myxococcota; Myxococcia. RNAcentral also lists the same sequence under 1 other name. The record is from RNAcentral.